This 531-nucleotide long non-coding RNA is filed under the name Mus caroli (Ryukyu mouse). RNAcentral's name for it is "lncRNA (MGP_CAROLIEiJ_G0003567.1)". The record is from RNAcentral. Lineage: Eukaryota; Metazoa; Chordata; Mammalia; Rodentia; Muridae.
ACCUCUCCUUAUCACCCACCCAUCCAUCCAUCCACAGACCUCUCUCCCCAGUGUCACGGAGCUGGGGAGUCACUGGGCUUCCCAGUACCUGAGCAGAAGGCUUCCUCCUGCCGGCCACCCCAUCUCCCCAGAUUCCCUGCCCAGGACCAAGCUAGAUGAGGCCUCAAGUUAGAGAUGUCCCCACGGUCCAGAGCAGCCACUGACAGCUAUCUUUUAGACACAUUCCUUACUCAGAGUCCUUUCUAAGCCACCGACCAAGUCCCAAGAGAAGCUCGCCACCUCCUUCCACACCUUGUAGAGAGACAGGGCAGUGCAGUCUGGUCCCUCAUUUCCUCAUCUGUGAAAUGAGAUGAAGAGAAGCCACAGUCUCCUCCUGGAGGAGACAGAUGCAGAGGAAAUGCCUGCUGAUGCCCAGAGAGGUUGGAUAACAUUGCCAAAGCCACACAGAGGACUAAAGAGAGAGGCUGGAGCAGGAAGACUGGGUGCAGAAGCAUUCGGACACAUAAAUUAGGUCAGCCGCCGGGGACGAGG